GACGAACGCUGGCGGCGUGCUUAACACAUGCAAGUCGAACGGAAAGGCCCUGCUUUUGUGGGGUGCUCGAGUGGCGAACGGGUGAGUAACACGUGAGUAACCUGCCCUUGACUUUGGGAUAACUUCAGGAAACUGGGGCUAAUACCGGAUAGGAGCUCCUGCUGCAUGGUGGGGGUUGGAAAGUUUCGGCGGUUGGGGAUGGACUCGCGGCUUAUCAGCUUGUUGGUGGGGUAGUGGCUUACCAAGGCUUUGACGGGUAGCCGGCCUGGGAGGGUGACCGGCCAAAUUGGGACUGGGAAAGGGCCCGAACUCCUUCGGGGGGCAGGGGUGGGGAAUUGUGGAAAAUGGGCGGAGUCGUGGUGGAGAAACGCCGGGUGGGGGAGGACGGCCUUCGGGUUGGAAACCGCUUUCGCUUGUAACGAAGCGGAGUGAACUGAAAUGGGUAAAAAAGCACCGGCAAACUCGGU
This 467-nucleotide ribosomal RNA is filed under the name uncultured bacterium. RNAcentral describes it as "partial 16S ribosomal RNA". It matches the Rfam family "Bacterial small subunit ribosomal RNA", at positions 28 to 506 of the family's 1533-position model. The record is from RNAcentral.